This is a long non-coding RNA of Callithrix jacchus (white-tufted-ear marmoset), 10685 nucleotides long. RefSeq lists it as uncharacterized. The record is from RefSeq and is a predicted model, not a curated record. Lineage: Eukaryota; Metazoa; Chordata; Mammalia; Primates; Cebidae.
GGUCAUUUGGUUUGUGCCUUCUCUCCCCACAAUUUCCCAAAAGAGCUAUGAAAUGGGCCUUUUCUCCCAGGUGUGGAUUAGCUGUGGGAAGCAAGUGAAGCCUGAAGCCAUUUCUUUAGAAGGAGCUGGAUGUUUCCAGGAGAAACCCUUGGGCCACAGAGAGACCAGAAAGGCUAUAAUUAAAACCUGAACGUCGUUCAUUGACUGGGUAACACAACAGUUUGAAUCCUCUUCCACUAAAAGAAAAUUAAAAUCCUUUCUGGGCUUCUUUGAAUCUUGGAGGCAAUAUAUAUCUAGAGUGACUUAUUUGCCUGGAAUUGUUCAAGUUCAUGUCUGUUGUCUUGAUGUAUUUUAAAUAAUUCUUUCAUUUUAAAGUGCCUGGGCUGGGACAACAAAUUACAUAGUGUCCUACUCUACCAUAUUUGAGUGUGAUUCUCUAUCCAUGUACCAAGAAAUACGUAAAGCUAUCAGGUCUGAGGGGCAUCAAGAGCAAGAGAAUGCUUCCUAGCUAGGUCAGGCACAAUGUGGCUCUCAUCCUCAGGUUUUAUGAAUUACAGAUCUAGUGAUACUCAAUAUGUGUGCAGUAGAAGAAGAUACUCUAUGGAGCCCUGGGCAAACUCAUGGGAGAACUGUAGUUCCAGUCACAGCGUUUGAAAGAGGCUAUACUCUCCUAAGCAAAUAGCUAAUCUCCUCUUGAGAAACAAUCCCUAGAUGUUUAUUGGGUCUGAGUGGGGACUAAACACUUGAUUAUAGGACAUCAACUGAUCAUAUGACUCAAACUGCUCAUUAUGAACUGCCCAUUAUGAUGUCAUCCAAGCAUCACACCUUUGGGCAUUAUGAAGCAGCACUUCAACUUCAGACCCAGUGCUCCUAUGAGAUCAGGCACAAGCAGGUCCUGAAGGCACAGGUCCUGCUUCAUUUGAGGCCUGACAAAGAAAGCAGGCUUCCAGAGGGGACUCAACAGUGGGUCCAGUGAGACAACCACAUGGCCAUUGUGGCUUUUGAUGCUAGUGAAUCAACUGGCAUGAAGUAGAGGUGCUGUGUUUGCUGAGACACAACUGCAGCAAACUGGAUUGUCUAGACACAGAAGAUGAGACAGAGUUGAGGGUGCCAGAAGCUCACUAGGUAUGAACACCUGUGAAAGGAAGCAGGCAGAAGCACGAUUGCAGUGGAGGAGGAGGAAGUUGAAUUGCCAUGCAGGUCAGACAGAGCCUUGCCAACCCAGGGGAACUCAGAGGAAGUCCUGCCUGACAGUUUUCCCCGUGGAGCCGAAACAGUUGUGCUUUCAUCUCUCCACCUUGCUCAGUCACCAGAUGCAGGCCAUGCCCAGAAGCGCAUGUUUUUCUCUGCAGCUUAGACUGAUGUUGAGGAGCCAGGAGCUGGAAGCCACCUGUUGACUACACUCCCUGCAGCUGGUCAGCCCAUCCUUUUCCAGGGGCAUCUCAACGGCAUCUUUGUCAGGUCAGCAAUUUUGUGUACAUGCCACAUUCUCCUAUUCAUGGACUUCUGGGCUUUUCCCACUUUGAAGCAAUUAUGAAUUAUGAAUGUUACAGACACGUUUAUACAAGUUUUACUGUGACGAGCUACUUUUGUUUCUCUUGGUUUUGCAGGCUGUACAAGAAGCAUGGAGCCAGCAUUUGCUUCCAGUGAAGGCUUCAAGCUGCUUCCACUCAUGGCAGAAGGUGAAGAGGAGCCACACAUGCAGAGAUCACAUAUGGAGUCUCCUUCUGCUCUGUCUCCCAGGCUAGAGUGCAGGGCGUGAUCUCAGCUCACUGCAACCUCUGCCUUCCAGGUUCAAGCAAUUCUCCUGCCUCAGCCUCUUGCGUAGAUGAAAUUACAGGUGUUAAUCUUUCAUUUUCAAAAAGAUGACCCUACACCAAUGAGAACUUGUAUUUCUCUUGGCCUUGAAGUAUCUGCCUAAAGUAUGGGCUACUUUAGGAGUAUCCCCAGAAUCAUGUUAUUCAGGGUGGCUGGUAUUAAACAAAAUGCAGUAGAACAGCCACCUUUCAAUAAAUUGUGAUUUACAGAGAACCCCACACAAUGCUUCCGAAUCAAGCCAACAACACUCCACCGUGGGAACUGUGUGGACUAGUACUGCACAGGGGAAGCACAGGCAGUCACUCAUCACUUAGAGUUCAGACCACCUCAGAAAGCCAAAAUGGCACGGAAUCUGGAAGUAAAAGGGAGAAAAAAAAGAAAAGGCCUCCUGCUGCAAGUAGGUAGCUCUUGAGCCUUUAAAGGACAGAGAAAAUAUUUGAGAAGAAUCAAUGUUUACUUUCAGUGUGCUGUGCCUGUUUAAUGGUCAAGCCAGAAGAGUGACAAAGGAAUGAACUAGAACAAAGAGGAAACUAAACUGAGAGAAGGACAGUGGAGUGCAACAGAAACAGUGGCGACAGAAACAGUGGCGACAGAAACAGUGGCGACAGAAACAGUGGCGACAGAAACAGUGGCAACAGCUCUGGAGUUUAGAAGCCCCAGUGAAUGAGAUGAGGGGCAAAAAAGAAAGGUGGUAACAAAGGAAAAACAGUUCUGCAAGUACUGCUGGGUGCGAACUACAGAGCUUCACGGAGCUUCCAGAAAAUGUACACCAGCAUCAUGCUUCCUUAGCAGUUUCAAGGUAAAGACAUUUCUACCUCCUGGGGGCAUGCUGGCAUUAGGGCACUCCUGUGCAGUAAGGCAGGCACGUGAUGAGAGGCAAGCCAAGUUCUCCUACAGGGUCUGAUGGUACUACUGAAUGCAGGUGCUGCUGUGGUGAAAUCAGACAGUAUUAUACACUGGCAUGUUCCAAAACAGCGUAACACUGACAGCCUACAGGAAAAACUCCCCGUCAUCACGGAAAAUGAAAAGCUUACAGGGUCCAUCAGUGGCAAUGGUGACCUGGUGCUUACUAUAGAAGCAAAAUCUUUUUUAUAGGCAAAUGAACUACAUAUGUCUCUUGGAUAUAUAGGGCUAGGAAUAGCUGGUGAAACAUGGCCAGCUACAGAAGAAUUCUGGGGUAUUUUCACUGAAGUGGGCCAUCUCAGUGGUAGUAAACUGGCCCAUUCUUCUCUGCAUUAAACAACAAGGAAGGUACUUUCCUCAGAUGUGAUGGUCGUCCAGGACCUCAGAAUGAAACCUUUGGUAACUACUGGUGAAUUCCACUCUAUUUUACUAUCUGCAAUGUCAGAUCAUCUUUAAAACCAAAUGCUUCCUUGAGGGGAGCAAAGCCCUGCUACUUUCUGCAGCAUUCAUGCCAAGAGGCAGACGGGACUGCACCUGUCUUCCAACUGCCAGUGUAACCACUGACUCAACAUAGUGACCCAAAGAGUUAGUCAGAGAAUGAGAUGGUUUUCUAGAAUAAUUCCACACGAAAACUGGCAUUUACAUCUCUUUUAACAUCAGAGAUGCAGUUUUUAAAUGUUAGUUAUGCCUGGAAUUCUAUUCUAGGUGAAAAGCCAAGGGUGGCUUGAAGGGAUCUUGGUUUACUGGGGUGUGGUGGAGGUGGGGUUUGAAAGUCAGACAUCUCCCAGGCAUGCCAGUGCACAUUUUAGAAGUGAUGACAAGUGCUCAUCCACACACUACUAAUAAAUAGGGCAGGGCAAUGAGAUACAGUAGUUCCAAGCAGACGUGAAGGUACGUAUAGUAAAUAAUUUUGCGUAAAGAAAUUCCAAAAUCUGCAUUGAACUGAUCCAAGCAUAAGGAUGCAACAUCAAAACCAGUGUCUGAGGGAAUCAGUGGGGAGAGCUUCUUUGGCCUUUAAGGUAGAAAUUAAUUUUGCUGACUCUGACAGCCAGUUGUUUCAUUGCUAAGAAAUCAUACCACAUGAGACAGUGGCUGAGCACACAUGCUCUGGAAUCACACUCUCAGACUGGACUUUGGGCAUGUUAUGUAAUCUCCCUGCUGCCUCUUACCUGUUAAGUGGGGGGUGGAUAGUAAUGGCGACUAUCUUAAAGGGUUGCAUGCAGAUCAAAUGAAUGCGAACAUGUAGAGUACUCAGAACAAUGCCCGACACAUACAGGCACUUAGUUAAUUUCAGCUUUGGUUCACAGACUACUAUUUAAUUAGCUGUGUGAUCACAGCAAAUUCCUUAACUCCUCUUUGCAUUCAUUUCCCUCACUUGCAAAAUGGGAAUAACGGAAGUACCUACCUUACAAAGUUAUUGUGAGGAUUUAAUGAGAUAAUGCAUAAAGCAUUUAGCAUGGUAUGUGGCGUAUAGCAAACUGCAACAAAUGUUACCUACAGGUCCACAAUUUCUUAUUCCUAAUUCCAAAAUUUAAAAACCCAUUAAAACCAAGUUAUUUUUAUGACACCAAAAUUUGUUUGCCAGCAAAACUUGAUCUGACCCGAUUCUGGGCUAUUUAUAAAUAGUCUUUAUGCCAUUUAAUAUAAACAUUCAUAUGUUUUGCUAAAGACAUGAUACCAUUUGAAGAAGUACAGGGUAGUGGUGGUGGGGGGUGUAGUACAUGCCAUCUGUGCUGUAAUACCUUUCUAAAAUGUGAAAAUGUUUAAAAUUAGAGACUUAUUUAGAUAGAAAGGUUUUAGACAAAGGAUGGUGGACCUACGUUAUUAUUUACUCUCUCUUCACAAGAAAGAGAACAUACAGCUCUCAAAUAGGCUAAUACAUCCAGAAUUUUUCCAAGAUGGCAACUCAAAAUAUCAUCCCAAAGCCUGAAAUCACCUGUGAUAAUAAGUUAAUCAUGAACAGAGUAGAAUAUCUGAAGUUUCUCUAUGAAAGAAAAGAUUAAGAAAAAAGCCAUAAUUAAAAUUUAAUGAGACAUUUUACAUGUUUCCAAAAAAAGGUUUAAAAUUUUAAAGUUUUGGUACUUAAAAAAAGGGUUAGAAUUUUAAAAAGUUUUGGUACCUUAAAUGGUUAGAUUUGUAUUUGUGAAAGUUUCAGAUUCCAGGCUAUCUCAAUUCUGCAUUGCUAUAGAGAUCAAGGGACUACUACAUACUACCUCUGAGUUUAUCAUUUAUAUUUCCAACUGUUCCACAAAUCCUCUGGGAUUUUGUCCUCAGAUGUAAAAGUAAAGGUUGAAGUAGGUAGGACUUUAGCGUCCCUUCCAGUUUUAGGAUCCUCUACUAGUGCUCUGUAUGUUACCUCUUUAGAAAAGUUCUGCCUGCUCAUUCAUCACAUUAGGAAACUAUUUCUUACUGCCAUUUCCUGCCUCCCCUGAACCACCACAGUAUUUGAGAUGACAUGAUAAGCUGGCAUUAGACACUCCACCAUUCCCUGCUUUUCUCAUAUCAGCUCUGAGGUAACCAUCUGAGCAUAAGAUCACAGGGCCACAGCUGCCUGCUGUGUUGCACCAUCUGUCACUGACUAGGCCCCAAAGGUGUGCUGGAAAAAGGACUGGAGGAGGCCACAGGACAGGGCAGCUGCUUUCCUGCCUUAGCUCUGACUUGCAGGGUGACUUUCUCACCCUGGCUAUUUUAAUAUGUAGUUUAUUUUUGUUUCUAGAAAGUUAUGCUAGCACACAUGUUAAGAGCCAGAUUUAAGGUACUAACAACAUAAAUGGAUAUAAACCCUAAAUAUCAUGAGACUGGUUAAGUCUGCUUUGGAAAGUACCAAUGACACACUGUCAGAUUUGAGAUCUGACAUUCUAUCUCUGUUAAACUUUAAAAGGAAAGCAAUUUCCUUCGCUUUCAAAGCUGUGGGCUCAGAAGCUGUGAGGAAGACUUCCACAUGCCAUGGGAAAGGCUGACUGCUCAAGAAUCCGCCACUGGAGAGAUGAAGACUGGGGCUAGGAUUAGACGCUUUUCAUCUUUUUUGUCUCUCUUGCUGAAGGAGGGAGGUAGUAUUAUCUAACUUUCCACAGAUUUAGACCUGCCACCUUUUGCUUGUAAAGUAUUUCAUGAAUGGGACCUGAGAGUGACACAGGAUCACUAGCCAACAGGGUACACUGAAGACACAAUUACCCUGUACUGUUCCAUUACCAGUGUUGCCUCAUUUCAUCUUCACAACCAUCAUCCAAAAGAAAAGAAAGGAUAAAGCACUUAUCCACAUCCCAAGCUAGUAAGAUGUGGAGCCAGACUGGAACCAGGGACUCUGGAAUGGGGCCGAGGGAGUGGAGCAGAGAAAGACUCACUGCAGUCUAACCAGAUGGCCAAUUAACAGAGCAGUCAAGAAAGAAACCGCAGGUGAAAAGCUUGUCAGCACAUUGUAGCUGAGGCUCCUCCUCAAGGACAGGCAGGAAGCAGCAGAUGCACACACAGUGACAGGUCUGCUAAGGACAGCAGGCCACUCAGGAGCCCAGAAGAGUCACCGACACGGCCAAGGACAAAGGUGGAGAGUCCCUUAAACACACAUGAUUCUAAGAUGUGUGAAGUCAAACAGGUAGUGGGAAAGAAGGAGUCACAAAAAUUAUUUUUAUGGAUAGGGAAUAGACACCAUGGAGUCAUGGAAAGAAGGUUCCAUGCAGUGUACUUCAAUUUGUUCUUUUAUUCUGUGGACAAAUCUGUUCCUAUACUAGCAAACAGCACAUCUUCCAUUCUGGACAUGUCUUUGCACUCUCAUGGAUGUAGGUUUGCAAUAAUGACUCUAAAAGGACUGAGGCAGAGGCCUAACUCCAUUCCCAACUCUCCAUGAAACAAGGGGAAUAUUUGUUAUCUUGAUGCUGUGGUUGAUUACAACACAUUUUGCCAUUCAGUGCUGCCACAACUACCAUAACCACCCAUGGUGCUACAGUUUACAAUUUGGCAAUCAAAUGCCUCAGCAUGUGGCCACCUGAAAAAUGCUUUUAUGGCGUUAUAAUCCCUAUUAGUAAACUAUUAACCCUUAAUUACUCUGUGUACAACAGUCCAGAGGGUCACAGUGGGUGUUCAGUGACUGUCUCUAACACUGUACCUAAAAGUAAUGGAAUAUCAUUGACAUAUGUUUGUCUGUAUGUAUAUGUAUAUAUGUGCAUAUAUAUAUAUAUUUAAAUAUCUGAUAUAUGCAAAGCAUUAUGCUAAGCCCUAUAGGAAAGAUAGAUAGCAACCUAUCUGUUUAUAUGUCUCUGUCUUUGGAGAUGGUAUAAGAGGAACAGAAGGUAGGGGAAGUUGAAGUUCAGAAGCAGAUAUGUGAACAGUAGCACAGUGAGACAGUCUGCAAGGCUAUAAUCUCUCAGCCUCCAGCUCCGUCGGCAGCGCAAAUCAUUUGCAUAGAUAUGUGCUCUAACAGUAACACAUUCAGGGCUCCCUCACUCACUUUCAUAACUGGAUAUGAAAGGAAUGAGGGAAGCAGGGGCAGUAAGCGUUGGCAUUUCAGCAUGUUAUCAGACAAUAACCCACAGAGAGAAGUGAUGUUGCACAAGGAGUGUUAAGUGACAGAAAAGCCAAGUUAUAGUCCCAUCAGCGACUGAGUAGCCAGGGCUUUAAGAAACCUCUUUGGGCCUCAUGUUCUUUACGUAUAAAGGCUUUGGAUCUCUGUGGCCUAAAAAUAUUGCCAUCAGCCUCCUCCAUGAAUUGUCUCAGAUGUGGGCCCUUGCUCCCCUCCUCACUGGUUCUAACACAGUUAGCAUGGCGUGCCACACUGCUUGUUUAUCUGUAUCCACCAGUGGAUUAAAAACUUUAAGGCCAGGAAAGUGAAUCUUCUUUACUACUGUCCAUGAUUGGCCUCUUAACAUACCUACUGGUGCCAGUGAAUAUUCACAUAAACAAAUAAACACAUGUCUGGAUAAAGACUGGAGAAAUGACUUACUUUCCAAUAAUCAACAGUUGAUGACAUAAACUAGAAGAACAAGAUGGGUGAAUUUCUUCCAUAUCUCUAGAUUGACUCUCAAUCCAAACAGAAAAGCACUGAAAAAUGUCAUUCCCCUUAAAACAAUUGGGUUAAGGGAACUCAAGAAUCAUUUUCUCUCAAUUCAACCUUUAGGGUUUAUUUUGCCAAAAUAUAAGCUUUUCCACGUAUAAGGCUGAAGCUCCACAGGCACUAGACUAAAAAAUUAUAUUAGGCAGUAGAUAAGCUAAAGUGAAUGUGAUCAGAAUAAAAACAGCUUUGUAGACAAUGAAGUUGGGCAAAUUUCUGAAAUUUAUGCUUAUAAAUUCCUUUAUGUUGACUAAAAGGAAGUCAUUUGAGCCAAUAUUUCAGCUUCUCUAAGGCCUCUGUCAACAACAGCUUCUGAAGAGAUUCUUUUGCUGAAAUACAUCCAAGGAAGAAUAUAACACCAAAUGGUCUCUUGCUUUAUAAAAUAAAAAUGGCAUCCCACUUGCAUUUGCUUUAGCUUAGCAAUUUCUUUCUGGCAUCUGCUCAACCACCUAUUUCUUACAGAAUAUCCAAAAUGAAAAAUAGUAUCACUCACUCUAGUUCUAUUUUAAAUUUUAAAGCAGAUAAAAGGUCUUCUAGAUACUUAAAAAAAAAAAAAAGAGGCCAUGGUCACUAGUGAACAAUAGCUUGCUACUCUUUUAAGAACUGUCCAAGAAGGUCCACGGUCCACUCCACAGCGACAGGAUUGAGACUCUCGUGGCUGAACACCUGGUCAGGCUCCCUAAGUGCUAUUUCAGUGCAGAGGAGCUGCCUGCCCCUGGCCAAGGUGUAGAAUUGUUCUGGAUUCUGCAGAGUAGGCUAGUAUCAUUCUUUUGAAUAAAAAAGGGAUUAUAAAAAUGUUCUUUCAAUUUGUGUGCACUUUAGAAUCACCUGGGUAUCUCUUUUAAACACCAAAGCCCAGGCUACACCCCAAGCUCAUAAUCACUGAUAGCGGGGCAUAGGCAUCAGUAUGUUUUGAAGAUUUCCAGGUGAUUCCAAAUGUGCCGAUAAAUUUGGGAACUAAUGACUAGUGGUUAAAAGUUUCUCAUACACACUUAUUAAAUAAAUGGAAACCAGGUGAUCUUCCAGGAUGAGCAGAUGGAGGGCAGGUGCCCUUUGGCCUGGCACCAGUGAGAAGAAGCAAGCCAUGGCUGUCAUGGGUCCAGACCUCCUUUCAUAGCCCAUAUCUGUUUGGGUGUGCUGAACUGCUGGACUGAACACUGGCUAGGAAAAAACAGGUUCUCCUGGAGUAACCAAGUACCCAGAGAUUCCUGCUUCCAGAGCAACACAGAUAAAAAGUCAAAAUGUACACAUUACAAAAGAGAGAGAAAGAGAAAAGUAGAUAAACUCUUUAAAUGAAGUCAAGUCUUCAUGGGAUUGACCUGCUCAAUUGUUCAGAGCAGUGCUUCCCAAACUUAGUUGAUAAGAUCUUCUGGGAAGCUUUAAAAACACACACACACACACAACAACAACAACAAAAAAACCUGUAGAACCGAUCUUAGACUUCUCUGUCAGAAUGUCCUAGAAUGAAGCAGGGAAGGAGAUCUGUAUUUCUAAAAACCUCUCCAGAUUAUUAUAAAUCUCAUUAAAAAAAUCUCUAUUAAGAAGUGAUAAAUAGAACACAUAUUUGUUAUGCAUUACUAUAAAAGAGCCCCUGGCAGAGGAUCACAGUGGAGAGCAUUUCCCCCUUCUCAUGCUUCCCUUAGUGCUCACUGUUAGCAGGCCUGACUUUUCACAGACUUUUAUGCAUUACAGGGUCCCACGGCCUUCCCUGAGCAGGCCAAUAGAGGAUUAUACACAUUGGUCCACAACUCGGUUUUUCACAUACAUACUAGACAUUUUCUCACAAGGAUUCAUAUAGUGCCGACCAAUUCUUUUUAGUGACUGUGAAAUAUUCACGAAAUAGGAUGUACCAGAGUUUAUUUGAGCACUUCCUUAUCUAUGGACAUUUGGACUGUUUCCAUUUUUUUUUUUUUUUUACUAUCAAAAUGUGCUACAAUAAUUUUGUACUUAGGUCUGUGCACAUUUAUGAGGUUCUAUGAAAGAGAGAUUACUGGGAGCAGAGAUUCUGGGUAAAGAGGCACAGAGAACUGUGACUCAACAUUUUGCCCACGGCCCUGCACAGAGCAGACCACACUAGUGCCUGCAGUGUACAUAGCACCCCUUUCCACGUCCCUUCACAUCCCGUCACCUCCGCUGGAUUACUGCCUCUUUCAUUUCUGACAAUCCAAUGGGCAAAAUUUAAGAGGAAUAUAAAUAUCUACGCAUGCACUCCCACCCUCAUUAGAGUAUAAAUUCUAAGAGGGCAGGAAUCUUUAUCAUUUUGUUUACAGAUACAUGAGUACCAAAAUAGUGCCUAGCUCUGCUAAGUACUCAACAAAUGUCUGUUGGUAUGUUUAUUUACUGGCCAUUUGUAGUUUUGAUACACACACACAGAGAUAUGGUUUUCUUUUUAUAAACUGAUUUGUAGAAGCUUUUUCAGUACUAAGAAUAUUAGUCCAUUGUCUGUUACAUGUGGCGAAUAAUUUCAACCAGUAUACCACUUGUCUCUGUACAGGUUAACUUUUUGUGUGGUACCUUUUUCCAUGUAGAAGUUCACUAUUAUCAUCACAUGGUUGAAUCUGCCACGUCCCAUUCGUAGCUUCUAGGUUUUGUGCCUGGCUAAGGAAUGUUUCUACCCUCUCUCUGCCAAUAUUAUACAAAAUUAGCCUAUAUUUUCUUCUGUAAGACUCAUAUUUUGUAUGUUUAGUUUUUAAUUUUCAGGAUUACAGAUGGUCAAUUGUAUUAGCACCACUUACUAAAUAAUCCACUCUUUCGUCACCAGUAUGAACAGUGACCUUUUUCCACAGUUAGUUCAUAUACAUAUGUGGAUCUCCAUUUUUUUUUGGUUUUCUUUCCUUCUCUGCUCCCUUCCUUCCUCCCCUCUCUUCCUUCCCCUGUUCUCAAUUCUUGGUUCUCUAUUUUCUCUCACUAAUGUCUUUAG